Molecule: ribosomal RNA, 465 nt
Filed under: Vreelandella stevensii
Lineage: Bacteria; Pseudomonadati; Pseudomonadota; Gammaproteobacteria; Oceanospirillales; Halomonadaceae
Description: partial 16S ribosomal RNA
Rfam family: Bacterial small subunit ribosomal RNA
Source: RNAcentral
CCUACGGGUGGCAGCAGUGGGGAAUAUUGGACAAUGGGCGAAAGCCUGAUCCAGCCAUGCCGCGUGUGUGAAGAAGGCCUUCGGGUUGUAAAGCACUUUCAGUGGGGAAGAAAGCCUUGGGGCUAAUACCCUCGAGGAAGGACAUCACCCACAGAAGAAGCACCGGCUAACUCCGUGCCAACAGCCGCGGUAAUACGGAGGGUGCGAGCGUUAAUCGGAAUUACUGGGCGUAAAGCGCGCGUAGGCGGUCUGAUAAGCCGGUUGUGAAAGCCCCGGGCUCAACCUGGGAACGGCAUCCGGAACUGUCAGGCUAGAGUGCAGGAGAGGAAGGUAGAAUUCCCGGUGUAGCGGUGAAAUGCGUAGAGAUCGGGAGGAAUACCAGUGGCGAAGGCGGCCUUCUGGACUGACACUGACGCUGAGGUGCGAAAGCGUGGGUAGCAAACAGGAUUAGAUACCCCGGUAGUC